Mercurialis annua (annual mercury) is the source of this 316-nucleotide long non-coding RNA. RefSeq lists it as uncharacterized. The record is from RefSeq and is a predicted model, not a curated record. The transcript has 3 exons. NCBI's taxonomy places the organism in Eukaryota, Viridiplantae, Streptophyta, Magnoliopsida, Malpighiales, Euphorbiaceae.
GCUCCCAAAAUUCAUCCUUAACCCUUUCUCCAUGGAAGAACAUCAACCAAACAUCAAAGGAGCAUAACUCAUUCGUUUUUGAUCCGAUUUGGGCGAUUCUCGCGGCAACGGAAAGAGGAGAUCAAUAUCUACUCAUAUAUCCCAAUAAUAUAAGUGAAUUAUAAGCUAAUUGAAGGAUUUUGGAUGGUGAAUUUUGAUGAUUAAAGCUUUGGCUAAGAGACAAUCAUCAAGAUCGGACGAGCGACUAUCGAAAAGGUUUGAGGCAAACGGAUCGAGAUAUCGUCAUAAUUAUUUGAAGAAUUUGGAUCGCAAGUGG